Molecule: long non-coding RNA, 244 nt
Organism: Juglans microcarpa x Juglans regia
Lineage: Eukaryota; Viridiplantae; Streptophyta; Magnoliopsida; Fagales; Juglandaceae
Exons: 3
Source: RefSeq, a predicted model, not a curated record
AAUUAUUAGAUAAUAGAAUGUCACGAGAUGUCGAGGUGAUCUGGAAAUUUAAUUGGUGUUGCUAUGCUUAUAAUUGAGGUACUUAUAAUUGGAGAUGUAGGCCUAUAACCAUAGGCACAUGAUCAUUGUGGUAUUUCAUUUUUUUUAAAAUUGAGAUAUUUUAUAGACUCCGAACUUUGGAGAAUUUUAAAUUGCUAUUUAUUUGAGGUUAUUAUUAUAUGAGGAGAUUUAUUUAUCAUUUUAU